UACAGAGGUCUCAAGCGUUGUUCGGAUUCAUUGGGCGUAAAGGGUGCGUAGGUGGCGCUGUAAGUCAGGUGUGAAAUCUCGGGGCUUAACUCCGAAACUGCAUUUGAUACUGCGGUGCUUGAGGACUGGAGAGGAGACUGGAAUUCAUGGUGUAGCAGUGAAAUGCGCAGAUAUCAGGAGGAACACCGGUGGCGAAGGCGGGACUCUGGGCCGAUACUGACGCUGAGGAGCGAAAGCGUGGGGAGCGAACAGG
Molecule: ribosomal RNA, 253 nt
Filed under: uncultured bacterium
Lineage: Bacteria
Description: partial 16S ribosomal RNA
Rfam family: Bacterial small subunit ribosomal RNA
Source: RNAcentral